GUCUACAGCUGUACCGCCCUGAAUGUGCUUGAUCUCCUCUGAUCUUGGAAGCUAAGCAGGGUCGGGCCUGGUUAGUACUUGGAUGGGCAACUGUAGAGGUACCAUUAUUCUCCGUGGGGA
Heterocephalus glaber (naked mole-rat) is the source of this 120-nucleotide non-coding RNA. The record is from Rfam. NCBI's taxonomy places the organism in Eukaryota, Metazoa, Chordata, Mammalia, Rodentia, Bathyergidae.